RNAcentral lists this microRNA precursor (52 nucleotides) under Pongo abelii (Sumatran orangutan). RNAcentral describes it as "mir-1302 microRNA precursor family". It matches the Rfam family "mir-1302 microRNA precursor family". The record is from Rfam by way of RNAcentral. Lineage: Eukaryota; Metazoa; Chordata; Mammalia; Primates; Hominidae.
UUUUAAGUAUAAGUGUGUCUCAUACACUACUUGGGACAUAUUUAUACUAAAA